CCCGGCUCUCGGUUCAGGCCACUCCGGACUCCUCUCCCGCCAGCCCGGAGCGAAAGCACCGAGCUGCCUCCUCUCCCGGGUGUUCCCCACCGCCCCGAGCUGCACCUCCGACCCCCGUUAGGUUUCCGCUCUGGCCCCUUUGCGGCUCCUAGAACAGGGGCUGCGGGCUCUGCCCUCGGGUAGAGUGCCCUACAGCCCAAAGUGUGAUAAUCAUCUUCGGGAGGAGACCAGAGGACUUGAAAGCGAUAUGUCGUCAAUCCUAGCUAUUCUAGAUCCUAGCAGAUACCCGUGUGCCUGACCCAUCCCCAGCCACCUAGGGCCCUGGGCUCAGAUCUGGUGAAUCCCCUAAGGCCGGUGGCCGCUGGCCCUGAGCAGCCUGAGCCUACCUGUGAACUCUCCGCCGCAGAGAGUUAAUAAUCUAUAAACAGUGAACAGGUGCAGAAGCUCUUCUAAGGCAAGGAAAUGUGUGAACCACUAUUUUAUCUAUAUGUACAAAGAUCGAGAUGAAUGAAGAAAGAGCAACGACAUAAGAAUGACAGUA
Long non-coding RNA from Galeopterus variegatus (Sunda flying lemur), 541 nucleotides. RefSeq lists it as uncharacterized. The transcript is spliced from 3 exons. The record is from RefSeq and is a predicted model, not a curated record. NCBI's taxonomy places the organism in Eukaryota, Metazoa, Chordata, Mammalia, Dermoptera, Cynocephalidae.